RNAcentral lists this ribosomal RNA (253 nucleotides) under uncultured bacterium. RNAcentral describes it as "partial 16S ribosomal RNA". It matches the Rfam family "Bacterial small subunit ribosomal RNA", at positions 524 to 776 of the family's 1533-position model. The record is from RNAcentral.
UACGAGAGGCCCAAACGUUAUUCGGAAUUACUGGGCUUAAAGAGUUCGUAGGCGGCAUUACAAGUAGGGUGUGAAAGCCCUCGGCUCAACCGAGGAAUUGCGCUCUAAACUGUCGUGCUAGAGGAACCUAGAGGUGAGCAGAACAGAUGGUGGAGCGGUGAAAUGCGUUGAUAUCAUCUGGAAUACCGGAGGCGAAGGCGGCUCACUGGGGGUUUUCUGACGCUGAGGAACGAAAGCCAGGGUAGCGAACGGG